Molecule: transfer RNA, 71 nt
Filed under: Loxodonta africana (African savanna elephant)
Lineage: Eukaryota; Metazoa; Chordata; Mammalia; Proboscidea; Elephantidae
Rfam family: tRNA
About the family: Transfer RNA (tRNA) molecules are approximately 80 nucleotides in length. Their secondary structure includes four short double-helical elements and three loops (D, anti-codon, and T loops).
Source: Rfam by way of RNAcentral
GCAGUGGUGGUUCAGUGGUAGAGUUCCCCUCUUCCAUGCUGGAGAUCCAGGUUCGAUUCCUGGCCAACACA